This 164-nucleotide ribosomal RNA is filed under the name uncultured bacterium. RNAcentral's name for it is "partial 16S rRNA". It matches the Rfam family "Bacterial small subunit ribosomal RNA", at positions 355 to 511 of the family's 1533-position model. The record is from RNAcentral.
UAGGGAAUCUUCCACAAUGGACGCAAGUCUGAUGGAGCAACGCCGCGUGAGUGAAGAAGGUCUUCGGAUCGUAAAACUCUGUUGUUAGAGAAGAACACGAGUGAGAGUAACUGUUCAUUCGAUGACGGUAUCUAACCAGCUAGUCACGGCUAACUACGUGCCCG